RNAcentral lists this ribosomal RNA (534 nucleotides) under uncultured bacterium. RNAcentral describes it as "partial 16S ribosomal RNA". It matches the Rfam family "Bacterial small subunit ribosomal RNA", at positions 355 to 886 of the family's 1533-position model. The record is from RNAcentral.
UAGGGAAUAUUGGGCAAUGGAGGCAACUCUGACCCAGCCAUGCCGCGUGCAGGAAGAAGGCGCUCAGCGUUGUAAACUGCUUUUGUCGGGGAAGAAACGACCCCUGCGGGGGGCAUUGACGGUACCCGAUGAAUAAGCACCGGCUAACUCCGUGCCAGCAGCCGCGGUAAUACGGAGGGUGCAAGCGUUGUCCGGAUUUAUUGGGUUUAAAGGGUGCGCAGGCGGGAAGGUCAGUCCGCGGUGAAAGACGAUCGCUUAACGAUUGCAGUGCCGUGGAUACUGCCUUUCUUGAAUCUGGUUGAGGCCGGUGGAAUUGACCGUGUAGCGGUGAAAUGCAUAGAUAUGGUCAAGAACUCCAAUUGCGAAGGCAGCCGGCUGGGCCAGCAUUGACGCUCAGGCACGAGAGUGCGGGGGAUCAAAACAGGAUUAGAUACCCUGGUAGUCCGCACCGUAAACGAUGAUGACUAGUGUUGGCCCCGUUGCGGGGUCAGUGCCACAGUGAAAACGUUAAGUCAUCCACCUGGGGAGUACGCC